This 253-nucleotide ribosomal RNA is filed under the name uncultured bacterium. Its description in RNAcentral is "partial 16S ribosomal RNA". It matches the Rfam family "Bacterial small subunit ribosomal RNA", at positions 524 to 776 of the family's 1533-position model. The record is from RNAcentral.
UACGUAGGGUGCAAGCGUUAAUCGGAAUUACUGGGCGUAAAGCGUGCGCAGGCGGUUGUGCAAGACAGAUGUGAAAGCCCCGGGCUCAACCUGGGAAUGGCAUUUGUGACUGCACGGCUAGAGUGUGUCAGAGGGGGGUAGAAUUCCACGUGUAGCAGUGAAAUGCGUAGAGAUGUGGAGGAAUACCGAUGGCGAAGGCAGCCCCCUGGGCCAACACUGACGCUCAUGCACGAAAGCGUGGGGAGCAAACAGG